CCUUCUUCCAGUAAGUUUGCUUUAUACAAGUGAAGUCUUUCUUUGGCUCCAUCAAGUGCACGUAAGUUUUCUGUUUUCUUAGUAUCAUUUGGGUCGCGAACAGUGGCUUUAACCGUAUAGCCUCGCUGAAGCAAGUGCUUAAUCAGCCAUGAUGCUAUGUAACCUGACCCUCCUGUUACGCACACCACUUUUCCUUCACCACUCAUUCUCUUCGCACCAAGGGAAA
Molecule: unclassified non-coding RNA, 226 nt
Filed under: Hevea brasiliensis (rubber tree)
Lineage: Eukaryota; Viridiplantae; Streptophyta; Magnoliopsida; Malpighiales; Euphorbiaceae
Source: RNAcentral